AUCCAUCUGACGGGGCCCUAAUAGGACGAAACGCGCGUCCUAGAU
This is a non-coding RNA of Schistosoma curassoni, 45 nucleotides long. The record is from Rfam. Lineage: Eukaryota; Metazoa; Platyhelminthes; Trematoda; Strigeidida; Schistosomatidae.